This 1002-nucleotide ribosomal RNA is filed under the name Bacillus sp. (in: firmicutes). RNAcentral's name for it is "bacterial SSU rRNA". It matches the Rfam family "Bacterial small subunit ribosomal RNA", at positions 40 to 1025 of the family's 1533-position model. The record is from RNAcentral. Lineage: Bacteria; Bacillati; Bacillota; Bacilli; Caryophanales; Bacillaceae.
CGGGGGCCGCCUAUACAUGCAAGUCGAGCGGACGGAUGGGAGCUUGCUCCCUGAAGUCAGCGGCGGACGGGUGAGUAACACGUGGGCAACCUGCCUGUAAGACUGGGAUAACUCCGGGAAACCGGGGCUAAUACCGGAUAACUCUUUUCCUCACAUGAGGAAAAGCUGAAAGAUGGUUUCGGCUAUCACUUACAGAUGGGCCCGCGGCGCAUUAGCUAGUUGGUGAGGUAACGGCUCACCAAGGCCACGAUGCGUAGCCGACCUGAGAGGGUGAUCGGCCACACUGGGACUGAGACACGGCCCAGACUCCUACGGGAGGCAGCAGUAGGGAAUCUUCCGCAAUGGACGAAAGUCUGACGGAGCAACGCCGCGUGAGUGAUGAAGGUUUUCGGAUCGUAAAACUCUGUUGUCAGGGAAGAACAAGUACCGGAGUAACUGCCGGUACCUUGACGGUACCUGACCAGAAAGCCACGGCUAACUACGUGCCAGCAGCCGCGGUAAUACGUAGGUGGCAAGCGUUGUCCGGAAUUAUUGGGCGUAAAGCGCGCGCAGGCGGUUCCUUAAGUCUGAUGUGAAAGCCCCCGGCUCAACCGGGGAGGGUCAUUGGAAACUGGGGAACUUGAGUGCAGAAGAGAAGAGUGGAAUUCCACGUGUAGCGGUGAAAUGCGUAGAGAUGUGGAGGAACACCAGUGGCGAAAGCGACUCUUUGGUCUGUAACUGACGCUGAGGCGCGAAAGCGUGGGGGAGCAAACAGGAUUAGAUACCCUGGGUAGUCCACGCCGUAAACGAUGAGUGCUAAGUGUAGAGGGGUUUCCGCCCUUUAGUGCUGCAGCAAAACGCAUUAAGCACUCGCCUGGGGAGUACGACCGCAAGGCUGAAACUCAAGGAAUUGACCGGGGGCCGCACAGGCGGUGGAAGCAAUGGUGGUUGAUCCGAGCAACGCGAGAUCCUUACAAGUCUGACAUCUCUGACACCUAGAGAAUAGGGCGAUUCCUUACGAGG